CGCGCCUUCGUGCCCUCAAAAGCCGUUCACCGCAGUUCGGCACUAGGCACGGCGGGGGUCGUUCUUUCCUUUUUGCCUCUCUGGUGGUCAGGAUCUUCCUCAAACCCACGGCAACAAUGGGGGACGCUGAGCCCGUUUAUUCUACGGCAGGGGCCUGAUACUCAGUGAGCCCUUCCUGCGCACUGCCAGGAGCUGGCUGUGGGGACUGAGGGAGAAAAAGGAGAGGGGACAUCUGAAAAUGAUUCCACGCAAGACUCAGGGGACAGGCCACAGAGGGACACAUGCCUCCAGGAGAGGUGGUGGUGACUGGCUAUCCCGGCUCACAGGCCCUCCGGCGCUGCUCCGUUCACACAGCACCAGCCUGGUCUUCUCAGGAAGCAGCCCCGUCCUGUCUUUCCCCAGGUUUUACAGCCUUCAGAGGCUCCCCUCGCACACGGGAGGGUGAAAUCCAAGCUGGUUUCCACCCCAAGGCCCGGUGCUGCUGCUGCCUCCGAGCUUACCUCCCGAGACCCUGCCUCCCUCUCCAGACUCUGGCCCCGGCCUCCUCCUGGCCCGGAGCUUGGCAAGCUCGCCCCUUCCUCAGGCCUCCCGCAUGUGCCCCCUUGGCAUAGAAGACCCUUCCCUGGUGCCCGUCCCACAUGCUGCCCCGUGGCGGGGGCUGCAGUGCCUUCCCUGCUCACCCAUCGGGGUCCGGGCUCCUCAUUCUCCACCCACUUGGCUCCUCCAGUGCCCACUGAGAGUUUUCACCGCCGCAUAGCCUGCAUCUGCCUGCCUUCCCCACGGGACCACGUGCUGCCUGCUCACCACUGUGCCCCCAGCCCGAGCAUGGGCCUGGCCCAACACAGACGUUCUGAAUGAACCAUGAUUUGGCCCGUCUGCUCUGGGUGUGACUCCAGGUGGAGAAUAAAGGGGGGGUUGGUAUGAA
Non-coding RNA from Microcebus murinus (gray mouse lemur), 925 nucleotides. The record is from RefSeq and is a predicted model, not a curated record. NCBI's taxonomy places the organism in Eukaryota, Metazoa, Chordata, Mammalia, Primates, Cheirogaleidae.